UACAGAGGUCUCGAGCGUUGUUCGGAUUCAUUGGGCGUAAAGGGUGCGUAGGUGGCGCUGUAAGUCAGGUGUGAAAUUUCGGAGCUUAACUCCGAAACUGCAUUUGAUACUGCGGUGCUUGAGGACUGGAGAGGAGACUGGAAUUUACGGUGUAGCAGUGAAAUGCGUAGAGAUCGUAAGGAAGGCCAGUGGCGAAGGCGGGUCUCUGGACAGUUCCUGACACUGAGGCACGAAGGCCAGGGGAGCAAACGGG
RNAcentral lists this ribosomal RNA (253 nucleotides) under uncultured bacterium. RNAcentral's name for it is "partial 16S ribosomal RNA". It matches the Rfam family "Bacterial small subunit ribosomal RNA", at positions 524 to 776 of the family's 1533-position model. The record is from RNAcentral.